RNAcentral lists this ribosomal RNA (284 nucleotides) under Blautia wexlerae DSM 19850. Its description in RNAcentral is "partial 16S ribosomal RNA". It matches the Rfam family "Bacterial small subunit ribosomal RNA", at positions 493 to 776 of the family's 1533-position model. Lineage: Bacteria; Bacillati; Bacillota; Clostridia; Lachnospirales; Lachnospiraceae. The record is from RNAcentral.
UCUGUUCCUUUUUUUCCCUCCGCCGCGGUAAUACGUAGGGGGCAAGCGUUAUCCGGAUUUACUGGGUGUAAAGGGAGCGUAGACGGUGUGGCAAGUCUGAUGUGAAAGGCAUGGGCUCAACCUGUGGACUGCAUUGGAAACUGUCAUACUUGAGUGCCGGAGGGGUAAGCGGAAUUCCUAGUGUAGCGGUGAAAUGCGUAGAUAUUAGGAGGAACACCAGUGGCGAAGGCGGCUUACUGGACGGUAACUGACGUUGAGGCUCGAAAGCGUGGGGAGCAAACAGG